Long non-coding RNA from Melitaea cinxia (Glanville fritillary), 1097 nucleotides. RefSeq lists it as uncharacterized. The record is from RefSeq and is a predicted model, not a curated record. The transcript has 2 exons. Lineage: Eukaryota; Metazoa; Arthropoda; Insecta; Lepidoptera; Nymphalidae.
UCAGCACACGCCAGCCACGGUGACGAACGCGUUACCAACUGCCAAACUUAUGACAUUCCAUUUUCAAAUUGGAUUGCCAUAUUGCCAGGUAAACUUUGCCAUGAUGGUUCUGCUGUCACGCACGGGAGCGCUACCUUGCUAUUCAGUUGGCGGGCAAUUAUUUAACGGCAAGUUCGACCCCAUAAAAUGUGGUGGAGCGGCAAUUCAAAGGUUUUUAAGGGCCGCUUGUUUCAUUUUUGUAAUGUGAGGGAAAUUACGUUUAAUGGCCAGUGAGUUUUCAGCACUAGUUAAGAAGAUCUGACAAAGAGUUUGUCCUUUAAAAUUGAUAAAUUAUGUUUCGUUCCUUUCGUCUGUUGUUAGAGGGAAGGAUUAACGGUUAAUAUUAUUUUAUACUCGAUUGCAAUGAGAAUAUUUAAUUGAAUUAAAUUUUGAAUCACUUCAAUCUUUGUUAUAAAUGUUAUAAAAUUUAAGUUAUAAAUCGAGAAAUUUCGUCAUUUGAUUAAUAUUAAGAAUCAGUACAUUUCAAUUGGUAGUUUGUGAAUUUCGUUUAUUGAUAAAUGUAAAUAAAAUGUGGGAUGACGUUUUCUAGACGAAUUGAAGCUUGAUAUUGUAAAUAUUUAUUGUAGUUCAAAAGUCGUAUCAAACUUUUAAAUAUUAUUGAUUUAACUUUUUCAUAAAAUCUUUUUUCAAUUAAUGAAAUAACCUCGGCCAUUUUAGUCUAUAUCAAGUCUCAUAAGUGUUAUGAAAACCUCUGUAAAGUUUGUCUCGUCUGAUUUAAUAUUAAAACGUAUUCAAACGUCUAGAAAUAAUUUUCGUGUCGGAAAUGACACGACGCCUAGCGCUAUGGUAUGCUUGGAGAGACGCCAAAGAGUACACAAUUACGAUAUUCUGAACAAGAUACGAAUCAUCUCUGUACGUUAUAAUAUUAUUUGUCAUGCUGAAAUAACCAAUAUAUUUCUAAGUAUCUUAUAUAGUAGAGAUCAUGAUAAUAUAGAAGGAUAUUUUACGAUUAUAAGCUAAGGCAAUCCUUAAAACCAAAUGCAUGCGCAAAGAAAUUGUAUCCUCCAGAAUACAAAUAAACAUAAUUGACAUUUGUA